This 346-nucleotide long non-coding RNA is filed under the name Bos taurus (domestic cattle). RNAcentral describes it as "long non-coding RNA NONBTAT016688". Lineage: Eukaryota; Metazoa; Chordata; Mammalia; Artiodactyla; Bovidae. The record is from RNAcentral.
CAACCACCCUCCGUACCCAUGAAUCCACAGCUACAAAGGGCUGACUGUAUUGAUCCAAAAAAAAAAGAAAGUGGAUUUUUUAAAAUGAUCUUUUGCAGUUUGUGGGUCUCUGUAUCUUUCAACACAUAACUUCACCAUUUAUAGAGUAAAUGGUGGAAGUGAGAUCGGCGUAUUUACUGACUUACCCAGGUUUGAGGAUAAGUGAAUCCUGACUAGUGGCUUGUCCACCAACCACUGAUGCUUUAGUUCUGUUCAGCAGGUUCUAGUCACGGCUUCUGUUGUUGCCUUUUAAAAGAAGUGAUAGCCAGUCACUUUGUAUUUUCAUUCCUCUCUAUUUCUGCUUUUG